GGGGGCGUAGCUCAGUUUGGGAGAGCGCCUGAAUGGCAUUCAGGAGGUCAGGGGUUCGAACCCCCUCGUCUCCACCA
This 77-nucleotide transfer RNA is filed under the name Bacillota bacterium. RNAcentral describes it as "Firmicutes bacterium (anaerobic digester metagenome) tRNA-Ala". It matches the Rfam family "tRNA". Rfam says of the family: Transfer RNA (tRNA) molecules are approximately 80 nucleotides in length. Their secondary structure includes four short double-helical elements and three loops (D, anti-codon, and T loops). The record is from RNAcentral. Lineage: Bacteria; Bacillati; Bacillota.